This 403-nucleotide ribosomal RNA is filed under the name Verrucomicrobiota bacterium. Its description in RNAcentral is "Verrucomicrobia bacterium partial 16S ribosomal RNA". It matches the Rfam family "Bacterial small subunit ribosomal RNA", at positions 355 to 776 of the family's 1533-position model. Lineage: Bacteria; Pseudomonadati; Verrucomicrobiota. The record is from RNAcentral.
UGGGGAAUCUUGCACAAUGGGGGCAACCCUGAUGCAGCGACGCCGCGUGAGCGAUGAAGGUUUUCGAAUCGUAAAGCUCUGUCCUAUGGGAAGAUAAUGACGGUACCAUAGGAGGAAGCCCCGACUAACUACGUGCCAGCAGCCGCGGUAAUACGUAGGGGGCGAGCGUUGUCCGGAAUUACUGGGCGUAAAGGGUUCGCAGGCGGCAUGGCAAGUCCGAUGUAAAAGGCGAAGGCUCAACCUUCGUAAGCAUCGGAAACUGUCAAGCUUGAGUGAAGGAGAGGCAAGUGGAAUUCCUAGUGUAGCGGUGGAAUGCGUAGAUAUUAGGAGGAAUACCGGUGGCGAAGGCGACUUGCUGGACUUCAACUGACGCUGAGGAACGAAAGCGUGGGUAGCAAACAGG